GAUGACACAUGGCCCCUGCGCAAGGAUGACACGCACAAAUCGAGAAAUGGUCCAAAUUUUUUUCUUACCCAUUUUGCCCACGACUUCUGUAUCUGAUUUUACCAAAACACCCUCGUAAAUCGUCACUUUCCCACACUACCCCUGACAUCUUUCGACGUGUCUUCUCCUCCCCCUUUGAGACUCACCGUAAGCUUAUAGUGGAGCUCCUCCCUCUGUAAUUCCUCUUCCUUCGUCUCCGCGUUCCCCUACCAAUUUCAGUUUGCUAGACAAGCGUGUUCUUUAUAAAUGUUGAUAUAUAUGAUGCUAUCAGAUUGAAGGUUAUUAAUCAGGCCAAUUGCCAAUGUGAGUGAAUGGAAUGGAUUGCUUCGAUUGGUGUAGCAGCCGCUACAGCAUAUUAUGUAUCUAUUAGAGACAGUGAAACUAGAUUAUGAUGAGUUUGCUUGACAAGCGUGUUCUUUAUGUGAGUGAAAUGUUGGUAUAAUUGAUGCUAUCAGAUUGAAGAUUAUCAAUCAGGUCAACGCCAAUGUGAGUGAAUGGUACUCAACCACCAACUUACACAGGCACACACACAUGUAAAUCUACUUGAUAUGACCCUAGUUCACUUAGUUAAUCUAUUUUUAUAAUGUUGAGUUACUUGGUGGAAGCUCGCCCGAACAUGUGAUCAAAAGGUGGAUGAUCGACCGCCCACCCAAGUAAUGAACUUCUCUUCAUAUUUUCCUUGUGUGUCUUGAGAGUGGUAACAGUAUUCCAGCUAGUGUAUAUGUGUGUGUGGGCUACAUAUGUUUAUGAUUCCGUAGUUGUCAUCUGUUUAAGUCAUUUUAGGGAGAAUCGAUGUACUUUGUGGCUGUAAUUGACAGACUAGUAUGUAGGUUAGGACCAUGUAGAUGCAUAAUAUGUUUAUUAUUAUUGUGAAUUAUUAACUGACGAUAUGCGAUGCACUGAUACAUUACUUACUAAUAAUGUGCUUGGUUAAUUUUGAUAUUUAAUAGCACUGAUAUGUUUCUUAGUAACAAGGUACUUGGUUAAUUUGGAAUGAACUGACUGGAGUUCAUGUAUUGGGAAUGGAUUGCUUGGAUUAGUGUAGCAUAUUAUGUAUUGCCAAAAUUAGAAGUGGGGAAAAGGAUGGUUGAAUUUACCUGUACAAGUUGAAUUGCAAGUUUGCAAUGGACGGCAACAUAAUGAAACAGUUUCUAGUGUGCCAUGGUCAAUGGGUAGACAUAUAAUAUGGCUCUUUCGUUAAAUUUUUGUUUGCUCUAUUUCAAAAUAAGAAGAAUAGUCUAUGACUAUUGUUUUUAUGACAGUUAUUCAAAAUUUAAAAAUGGCAUCUCAGUAGUUGUUCUAAUAGCUGCAUCGACUGCUUCUGGAAAUAUGGAACACUGAAGAAAGUAUCAAUAUUGACUGGUAUAUCACAAUUCGUAAGUACAAAGAUGUCAAUGUAAUAUGAGUAUGUUAUUGGUAGCAGAUAAAUAAUUCUAGUUCCUGCUUGUAUUUCAUGAACAAUAUAUGUAUAAUAAUUGUUGUGAAAAAAAAGUUUGAUAUUUAAUAGAACUUGGAUUUUAGAAGGAACGAUAGAGACUCUGAAACUAGAGUAUGUUCUUGAAGUGUAUGUAACGUGAAAUUAUUAAGAUUUAAUCCAUGCAAAUGAAUUGUUAAAUUUGUCCAUUGAUCCAUAUUAUCUCCUAUCAAAGCCAUUAUGUUGUAGUGGUUUAAAUCAUUGUGAGGAUCAUAUUUUGGGUUCAACGCUUAAACUGGUUCUUGAAAGUGUCUUUGAAUAUGUGGUGGGCAGUAAAACACUUUCAUUUUAGUAUAUAUAAUGUUAAAAAAAAUUGAGAACAAGGAAAUAUGAGAGACGGGCACAACACAUGUUUGAAGCAUCUCGUUCACAAGAGAGGAGGACAUGGGAGAAGAGAGAAGGGAGGAGCGGUGAAGGAGGAAGCAACUGCAAACUUCCAUGUCUCAUAUGCAUAUAUAGAAGAGUGCGAUGAGGUUAAGUGAGAGAGCUCAAAGCUCUUAGUUUUCUUUGAACUUUUUUCAUCUCUAAUGACUUACCUUAUGCUUAACUAGGAAAGAAAAAAAAAACUUAUAUUCAUAAUAAAAACUGCUAAAAUUCUUCAGAAUAAAUUUUUUUUUUCCCUAACACUUGUAUCAUUUUCUUUUUUUUUUUUUUUUUUUUUUUUUUCAAAAGAGGCUGAGUAAGAGACCAUUACUUUAUACGUGUCACUGGACAUUUCUAAUUGUACUUGUGCUCAUAGGAAGACCAAGAAUCCCAGAAUCACCAGCUAUUGUGCGCCUUGCUGAGUUAAUCUUCAGGCCUUAAAUUGAUUCGAUUGGUGAUAAUUUGCAUCUCAGGUUCAAUUAUUGUGGGGAGCUGAUGUAUGUUUAGAAAGGGUUUCUCAGGGAAGAAUGAGAUUUGGUUGGUGGUCUUUUCGCAUCAAGGACUGCAAGAGAACCCUGCUCUUGGUUGUUAGAAUUAAUGUGUAUCAAUUCCAUUUUGGGCCAAUUUAGGCUUUCAGCUGAAACACAUAGUUCUGGCUGAGAACUUGACGAUAGAGUUUGGUGCCAUUGGUAUGAUUAUUCUGGCCUGGUCUGACAUUUAAGGAACUGGAGUUUAUGCUGUUGUAUAACCAUCAGGGGUUUAUGGGGCAGGAUGUCCUCAAGGAAGAGAGAGGGUUUCAUGGACAGAAGCUUGAGAAGAGAGAACAGAACCCUCGAUAGGGAGCUGGGAAUUAACAAGACUCCUAGCAUAAGGAGUUCUUAAUAUGCAUAAUGACCAUUGCAUCCUUCUAAAAUAAAAAAUAAAUGAUAUUUUUCAGUCAACUGUCUCUAAAUUUGUAUGGAUGGUGAUCCUAUUCGCUCAAGCUCGGAAAGCUUAACUAGUUGUUGGAUGGGUGAUUUUUACGGUUCUGUUUCCAUGCAUUAUGCCUUCUCAACUUCACUUACCUAAUAGUAUAUAGAUGCAUUAUAUUUAUUUAUGAAGUAGUUCUCUAUUUUCAACCUCUAUGGCUUGGGAAUCCUCAUUCAGGCACUACUAGUAGUUAUGAAUUCUCAUAUAUUUUCAUUUUUCCUGCUCAGACUGCACAAAUGGUAUUGGUUGACAUAGUUGUGUGAUUAAGAUAUUUGAUCUAAUGGACAUUGCACUCUAGAUUUCCCAAUCCAAAUGUCAUAGAGACUUUUGAGGUGCUUGUGAUAGCGCUGAAAUUUGCUCACCUUGUUAUGUUGCUGUUCCUUCUACCGCAAAAUCAUGAUUGGUCUGCUAGGCAUGUUAUGCUUCUGGCCGAAUACACAAGCAUAAUUUGGAUGUUUGAGUAAAUUAGCAAUGAGACUCCAUUUGAAACAGUACAACGAGAGUUAUCAUAUGAUGAGAUAUCUUAUGUUGGCCUGCAAUUUCAAUAAAUAUAUAUAAUAAUUUACUAAUU
Long non-coding RNA from Cornus florida, 3416 nucleotides. RefSeq lists it as uncharacterized. The record is from RefSeq and is a predicted model, not a curated record. The transcript is spliced from 4 exons. NCBI's taxonomy places the organism in Eukaryota, Viridiplantae, Streptophyta, Magnoliopsida, Cornales, Cornaceae.